UGCAAAUCAAUUUAAAUUGUAUUAAUUAUUUAUUUAUUGAUUUUUUUUUUUAAUUAAUUUAUUAAUAUUAAAAAUAAUUAUAUAACUUUUUUGUUUUAGUAAUUUUUAAUGAAAAAAUAUAUUUUAUAAUAGUUUAUUUGUAUUGUAAAAGGUUAUUGAAAUAAAUUGAAAAAUUUUUAUAUAAAAAGAAAAAUUUAUUUUUUGUACCUUGUGUAUCAGGGUUUAUUAAAUAAUUAAUAAUUAUUUUUGUUAAUUUCGAUUUUAUAAGAGUUAAUAAUUUAUAAAAUUUAAUGUUUUAUAAUUAUUUUUCAUAAAUUAUUAGAAAUGAAAUGUUAUUCGUUUAUAAAUGUAUCUAGUUUUUUUAGAAAUAAAUUUAAUUUAUAAAUUUUUAAUUUUAUUUAUUUUUUUUUAAUAAAUAAAUUUAUAAAUUUAAAUAUUUUUAGGGAUAAGCUUAAAAAUAAAAUUAUUAUAAAUAUAAUUAAAGUUAAUUUAUUAAUAUAUAUAUUUAGAAUUGAUAAUUGUUUAAAAGUUUGUUAUAAAUUAUUUUUUUUUAUUUUAUUGUGUAUAGUAAAGUAAAUAAAUAAAUUUUUAUUAUUUAUUUAUAUUUUAAUUUUUUAUAAAAAUUUUUUUUUAAUUUUUAAUGAAAAAUAAUAAUGAUAAAAUUAGUAUAUAUUAUAUUGUUUAUGUAAAUUUAAAUGGUAAGUUUAUAUAAAGAACUCGGCAAAUAUUUUACUCGCCUGUUUAACAAAAACAUGUCUUUUUGAGUUAUUUUUAAAGUCUAACCUGCCCAAUGAAUAAUUAUUUAAAUGGCCGCAGUAUUUUAACUGUGCAAAGGUAGCAUAAUCAUUAGUCUUUUAAUUGAGGGCUUGUAUGAAUGGUUGGACGAAGUAUAAUCUGUUUCAUAUAAAUUUAUUAUAGAAUUUUAUAUUUUAGUAAAAAAGCUAAAAUAUUAUUAAAAGACGAGAAGACCCUAUAAAUCUUUAUAAUUUUUAAAUUAUUAAUUUUUUGGUUUUUUUUUAUUUUUAUUUUAAUAAUUAUUUUGUUGGGGUGAUAUUAAAAUUUAAAAAACUUUUAUAUUAAUUAUUUUUCAUAAAUUUAUGAUUUUUUGAUCUUUUAUUAAUGAUUAUAAGAAUAAGUUACUUUAGGGAUAACAGCGUAAUUUUUUUGGAGAGUUCUUAUUGAUAAAAUAGGUUGCGACCUCGAUGUUGGAUUAAGAUAAAUUUUAGGUGUAGUUGCUUAAAUAAUAAGUCUGUUCGACUUU
Molecule: ribosomal RNA, 1261 nt
Filed under: Paracantha forficula
Lineage: Eukaryota; Metazoa; Arthropoda; Insecta; Diptera; Tephritidae
Description: partial 16S ribosomal RNA
Source: RNAcentral